Molecule: transfer RNA, 93 nt
Filed under: Xylaria arbuscula
Lineage: Eukaryota; Fungi; Ascomycota; Sordariomycetes; Xylariales; Xylariaceae
Description: tRNA-Gln
Rfam family: tRNA
About the family: Transfer RNA (tRNA) molecules are approximately 80 nucleotides in length. Their secondary structure includes four short double-helical elements and three loops (D, anti-codon, and T loops). Further hydrogen bonds mediate the characteristic L-shaped molecular structure. tRNAs have two regions of fundamental functional importance: the anti-codon, which is responsible for specific mRNA codon recognition, and the 3' end, to which the tRNAs corresponding amino acid is attached (by aminoacyl-tRNA synthetases). tRNAs cope with the degeneracy of the genetic code in two manners: having more than one tRNA (with a specific anti-codon) for a particular amino acid; and 'wobble' base-pairing, i.e. permitting non-standard base-pairing at the 3rd anti-codon position.
Source: RNAcentral
GCUGACGUAGUGUAGUGGUUAGCACGUAGGAUUUUGAUAUGAACAAUAGUUCUUGAAUUUCCUGAAUCCCCGGUUCGAACCCGGGCGACAGCU